AACGCACAUUGCGCUCUUUGGUAUUCCGGAGAGCAUGCCUGUUUGAGAAUCAGUAAAUUCAUCAACUGCUUAAUUGCGGUUGGAUAUGGGCGCUUUGAGACUUCACAGUCUCAAUAGCCUGAAAUUCAAUGUUACGCUUCCUUGAACCAGCAGUUCUAGGGCAUACGCAUGAAUGAGGCAACUCACAAGUACGUUUGUCGUCAAGGGCUGUCAGUUUGCUUGGAGUGUGUAACUCAACCAUUACCCAGAGUUGGCCGACGUCAGUCGGCCUUCCCUGAACACUUGGUCUCAAAUCAGGUAGGAAAACCCGCUGAACUUAA
Molecule: unclassified non-coding RNA, 320 nt
Filed under: uncultured Rhizophlyctis
Lineage: Eukaryota; Fungi; Chytridiomycota; Chytridiomycetes; Spizellomycetales; Spizellomycetaceae
Description: sequence contains ITS2
Source: RNAcentral